AGUGAGCACAGAGCUCCUUGCCAGUAGGCGAUGCAAGUUAUCUCUGGGGCCCGGAGGACACGAGUGAGGACCGGGCACCAAUCAGGUUCUCGCUCUGCGCCUGCCUUUGUUCUCACUCGGGAGCAGGUUGCGGGCGUCUAGCAUCCGGAACCCGCAUUCGACUCGGACACGCAUUGCUAGCCCCUUCGGGAGACCUGGCUCCCCUACCCGUCUGUCCCCCCACCUCGGUCAGCCUGCGUUUUCCCCAGUCAAGUCUGCCUUCUCUCCGCGGAACGUGGACGCUAAAACCCUGACUCACCAUUUUAAGCUCUAGAAGAGUGCUGGAAUGAAUCCAUUCAUCUUUAAAUACUUAACUGCUUCUACUACAAUGAGUACUACUGCCAGUUUCCACUAAUAAUAGCAGUACUCAUGGCUGCCAUUUCCAGAGUACUCACUAGGAUAAAAGAAUCAGAGUGUCUCAACCCUUGACAAGAGGACCAAGUGCCUUUAUUCCAGAGAAGGAAGUUGUCCAAGCAAACACAGUGGAUGAACGUACUAACU
RNAcentral lists this small RNA (540 nucleotides) under Pongo abelii (Sumatran orangutan). RNAcentral's name for it is "processed transcript". The record is from RNAcentral. Lineage: Eukaryota; Metazoa; Chordata; Mammalia; Primates; Hominidae.